Molecule: ribosomal RNA, 253 nt
Filed under: uncultured bacterium
Lineage: Bacteria
Description: partial 16S ribosomal RNA
Rfam family: Bacterial small subunit ribosomal RNA
Source: RNAcentral
UACGAAGGGGGCGAGCGUUGUUCGGAUUUACUGGGCGUAAAGGGCGCGCAGGCGGCGGACCAAGUCAGGCGUGAAAGCCCCGGGCUUAACCUGGGAGGUGCGUCUGGGACUGGUCUGCUAGAGAUCGGGAGAGGAGAGUGGAAUUCCCAGUGUAGAGGUGAAAUUCGUAGAUAUUGGGAAGAGCACCAGUGGCGAAGGCGGCUCUCUGGACCGAUACUGACGCUGAGGCGCGAAAGCGUGGGGAGCAAACAGG